This 27-nucleotide non-coding RNA is filed under the name Homo sapiens (human). Lineage: Eukaryota; Metazoa; Chordata; Mammalia; Primates; Hominidae. The record is from RNAcentral.
UGCUUGGAAGGGAGCUGUCUGGAAGGA